Molecule: ribosomal RNA, 254 nt
Filed under: uncultured bacterium
Lineage: Bacteria
Description: partial 16S ribosomal RNA
Rfam family: Bacterial small subunit ribosomal RNA
Source: RNAcentral
UACGUAGGGUGCGAGCGUUGUCCGGAAUUACUGGGCGUAAAGAGCUCGUAGGUGGUUUGUCGCGUUGUCCGUGAAAACUCACAACUCAAUUGUGGGCGUGCGGGCGAUACGGGCAGACUGGAGUACUGCAGGGGAGACUGGAAUUCCUGGUGUAGCGGUGGAAUGCGCAGAUAUCAGGAGGAACACCGGUGGCGAAGGCGGGUCUCUGGGCAGUAACUGACGCUGAGGAGCGAAAGGCGUGGGGAGCGAACAGG